UACGGAGGGGGCUAGCGUUGUUCGGAAUUACUGGGCGUAAAGCGCACGUAGGCGGCUUUGUAAGUUAGAGGUGAAAGCCCGGAGCUCAACUUCGGAAUUGCCUUUAAGACUGCAUCGCUUGAACGUCGGAGAGGUGAGUGGAAUUCCGAGUGUAGAGGUGAAAUUCGUAGAUAUUCGGAGGAACACCAGUGGCGAAGGCGGCUCACUGGCUCGAUACUGACGCUGAGGUGCGAAAGCGUGGGGAGCAAACAGG
RNAcentral lists this ribosomal RNA (253 nucleotides) under uncultured bacterium. RNAcentral describes it as "partial 16S ribosomal RNA". It matches the Rfam family "Bacterial small subunit ribosomal RNA", at positions 524 to 776 of the family's 1533-position model. The record is from RNAcentral.